Molecule: long non-coding RNA, 709 nt
Filed under: Cyanistes caeruleus (blue tit)
Lineage: Eukaryota; Metazoa; Chordata; Aves; Passeriformes; Paridae
Description: lncRNA (ENSCCEG00000010453.1)
Source: RNAcentral
GGAAGGGAUAAACCACCCCCUCCUCCGCCCCCUGCAAGUAGGCUAAGUGCUGAUCUCUUUCAUGUCUCUGAUGUCUUAUCACAUUUCAGAUGCUGUCACUACACCCGGCUGGGAUAUUUUCAGUGGAAAUACCUCCAGAGAAGUGAGAGCAGUUUUGACACCAGUUAUGGAGUUAUGGCUUCCAGAGAUGCUGGCCAGGAGAUGGUUGCACAAGAGAGCUUGAAGACAUUACUGGGAACAAGGACACGUUCUUCAGAAAGAUGGAACAACUGAAUAAGUACUUGUCACUUGGUUCUUAGGGAAAGGAAAAAUAAUGAUUGCAGAUUUGCACCUUGCAGUAGAAGCCUAAUUUGAUGGGGUCUUCAAAGGUCAAAGGUCUUGGAUUUGGUACUCACACAUAAAACAAAUUGAAAAAAACCCUUUAUCUUCACAUAAGUCAGUCCUUGUCCUUGUGCAAUGAAGUUCUGCUGUGCCUAGGAGCUGGGUUUCCUGACCUAACAGUGGCAACCAAGUCUCUAGGAACUUGAUUGUGCAAAAUACUGGUUGUCCUGAGCUUGUAGGGAAGGGAGCAAGUUGUAGAUGCUUAGUAUUUAACAGGGUGAAUUCUUUCUGCUUUUAAAGCAACUACCCAUGUGGUUGUCUUUUUUCUUUCUCCGGUAGUUUUAAAGGCUUUCUGUCUCACUAUAAUAAAUACAUUAUUUAAAAAUCA